CCUACGGUGUGCAGCAGUGAGGAAUAUUGGUCAAUGGCCGAGAGGCUGAACCAGCCAAGUCGCGUGAGGGAAGACGGCCCUACGGGUUGUAAACCUCUUUUGUCGGGGAGCAAAGCGAACCACGUGUGGUUCAUUGAGAGUACCCGAAGAAAAAGCAUCGGCUAACUCCGUGCCAGCAGCCGCGGUAAUACGGAGGCUGCGAGCGUUAUCCGGAUUUAUUGGGUUUAAAGGGUGCGCAGGCGGAGGGGCAAGUCAGCGGUCAAAUUGCGGGGCUCAACCCCGUACUGCCGUUGAAACUGCAUCCCUUGAGUGCGCGAGAAGUAUGCGGAAUGCGUGGUGUAGCGGUGAAAUGCAUAGAUAUCACGCAGAACUCCGAUUGCGAAGGCAGCAUACCGGCGCCCGACUGACGCUGAAGCACGAAAGCGUGGGUAUCGAACAGGAUUAGAUACCUGUAGUC
This 457-nucleotide ribosomal RNA is filed under the name uncultured bacterium. Its description in RNAcentral is "partial 16S ribosomal RNA". It matches the Rfam family "Bacterial small subunit ribosomal RNA", at positions 338 to 795 of the family's 1533-position model. The record is from RNAcentral.